CCAUGUGAGUAUUGUGGAGGUCACUGUGUUAGACUGUGGCCCCUUUGCUUUAACACCUCAGUCUCAGGGGUGUUUCCUAGAAAAAAUAUGGUAAGAGAAUUCUUUCUCACUUGAAGGGAAACCUGCAGAAGUUCUAAGGCUCAAUAUUCAUAGUGGAUGUUAGCAAGAAUCCUGGCCUCCCCAUCCACCUAGCCAACAUGAAAACUACAUUACGGGGAAAAGGAACAAGACCAUGCUAAAAGGAUACAGCAUGUUCUGCAAGCAUACAACGUGCUCGAUUCAUUGACAACCACCACUGGUGUGGGAGGCUUCCACUCCACCGCAUACCAGAUUGAAACUGAGGGAAGAAUAUCAUCCCAAGGCUCUGAUCCUCAUCAAGUGGGUGCCUGCAAGUUACCUGUGCUUCUUUCUCAGCAGUCUGGUACUCAAGCAUGUCACUGCAUAUAGUAAGCAAGCAAUCCCAGGACACAGGGACCUUGAACAGUACUUUUCCUACCCUAUACAAAAAGAAAACUCACACAGACUAGAUUUCUGAUUUGUUAGUCUUUUAUACUUGAAUUUAUUCACACAAAAUAUGGUAUCGGCUACACUCAGGGCCCCAACAUGCUCCACUGAAGCCUAGGAAGAUCCAUUUCCUGUGCUGUGAUGGAGGCCAUACUUGCUGCUAUCUGGAUCCUGGUGAGGUUCCAGGGUCUGGCCUUUCCUGGCUGUGAGGUCUGGACCCAUCACUAGAAAACACACCCGAAAGAACCCAUCCUGUACUUUAUCCUAUGCCCUUCUUUUUCUCCAUCUGCACAAUCUGCACAUCAUGGGAUUACUCAGGGGUCCAUCACCACUACAAGGACCCUCAUUUAUGCACACUGAAAGCCAGAGAAGAGAAAAUGGACACUCCUGAGCAGACACCGGACAAACUGUUACAAUCUGUAUCUCAGGGAACUACUCUAGGAUAAUUAUCUGAAUCCUUGCUUUUUCUCUACAAUGCCUAGUUUGUUGUUGUUGUUGUUGUUUUUUUUUUUUGAAGCAAAAAAUUUAUUAGUACAUUUCAGGUAAACAUAAUGAUAGCAUUCAUCACAGGGAAUUUGUACCUGUUCAUGAUGUAUCUUUCUUCUUUUUUUUCCCAUUCUCCUCCCCUCCCUCUACCUCUCUCCUUCUCCUUUAUUUACAAAAGCUUUGUUUCCAUUUUUUCUUCUAUUUUCUUUUCUUUCUUUCUUCUUUCCUCUCCCCCCCCUCCACCCUCUUUUGUUCCCCUUUACAAUGGCCAGUUUAAAGGCACACUUUCGGCCUGGAUUCAGUAGCACCUGAUUCUACACCCUGAUAGGAAUGAGCCCCUUAACCUCACACUUGCCAAAUAAAGGAGACUACCUCAGAGUUUCACUAUCAACAAUGAAAAUCACAUCUGAAAAUAAGGUCUCUGAUGUGUGAAUGUGGGGUCAGCUCAGAACUCGACAGUCACAGUGACCUUCCCAGCAUAAGAAUCCAGUACAUGACAACAUCUCAUUGGGCUAUUACCCUUAUGCUAGCCACCUGGAUAUUGAAGAUUGGAUGGGUGCCAAUGGGCUGUAAUUUAUACUUUUGUUUUUCCUUGGUUUGUUCAAGGUUUUUUCAACACACUCAUUCAAUUGAUCACUUCCAUUAACUUGAAAGCACCUACAGAAAACUGUCAUUUAGCUCUCAUCUUGCUCUUCCAUGUCACUGACUCUUUCUGCCCCUCACCCAGAAACAGAAAGGCAUCCUUCAGCUAUGUGUUAAUAGAGUCCUUAAUUCUAUGUAAAUUGUAUUCUCUGGCAUGUCCAAAUGUGUAAUAGAGCCAUCUGUAAAUUUUUCAAUGUUUACUGUUGUGUUGUAACACCACCAUGUCUACAUCCAACCAUGAUGCGAUGGAUCCCUGAAAUUGUACAGGUUCAAUAUUCAUUUCUGUCUCAUACAAAAUGCAGUAUUGCAUUCACUAGAUAUUUUCAUCAUGUCUCUCAUUUCAUCCAUUAGUACUUGUAACAAAACCUCAGUAACAAGUGUCAAGGACAUCCUCAUCACUCAUCCCUGUAUAUGAAGAUCUGAUUUCCUGUGAUGUGGUGAAUGCCCACAUUAGCACUUAUAGAGAGAUCAGUAGUGUUCUACUUUACAAACUUAUUUUGCUUGCUGUGAUGUAUUCACCCAUCUAUGGACUCUUGUCAUAGACUUCUGAUUUGGUAUAUGUCUCAUUUGCACUUAUACAACUCCAAAUUCCCUAUGUCACUUCAUCAUUUCAGCAUCCACUUACGUUAUCUAGAUACUUGCAGGCUUCCAUGGAUAAAGCCUUGUAAGAGAGUGUUGUCUGUCUUCAGUGAUACAUGCAAACCUUCCAAGGACAAUAUUUCAGAGAUGGACUCAGUGAAAAUUACAUAAAUCUCUUCUCCACCAGUAGCAAUACAAGCAUAUUACAUCUAUUACAUUCCAGAAAAGAUGCAAUGACAUUUGAUGUAUCCUUGUAAUAUUAAGGUGAUAAUAUGUUUUGAAAACAUGUAUCACCAGAAGUGGGGGAAUAUAAUAAAACCUAACACAGUCAUAAAAUGAAUUGCUGAAAAUGAGAUGUCACUAGUGAGUGACUAUAUCAUCCCAGACCAAUACACUAGCCAAGACCUUAACAUCUGAGCACCUAGUUAGGAACUUGCCAGGAUUAUAGAAGAUCAAACAGCCUUCACUGGACUAUGACCAUUUUAUCAUUUACCUUGUUACUAGGGUGACUGCAACAACCAUCUUUUCUGGAUCACUGUGUUCUCUUGAAGGGCAUCUGAAAAAAAUACAAAGCCAGUUUGGCAUAGAAGGUGCUGUGUCAGAACAUGAGCCCACUCCCUUUUUAAUGUCCAUUGCUAAAGGACAGCUAAACUCCUCAGGAUACUUGGAUUCACCAAACAAAAACAGUAUUGUCAGAGAGCCCAUAUUUUGUCAUCUCCACACCCUGGAAAUUAACCUAUGCUUACUGCAGUCCUAGAGUUCCACAAUAAUUUCAAUUAACCAGUUCAUAAUCACUCCCUCAGCAGUCCUUGCUAAAACACCAAUUUUCCCUAUGGCAUAUAAAGGAUAAACUCAUAUUUACUAGAACUGUGAAGGACAAAAUUAUUUCUUAUAGGAGCAGUGACCACUAAAUCUAGUAAUAGUCAGGACACCCUCAUCCCUUUCCUCUAUAGAUGAAGAUCUGGUUUAGGGUACCUCAGCA
Molecule: long non-coding RNA, 3193 nt
Filed under: Heterocephalus glaber (naked mole-rat)
Lineage: Eukaryota; Metazoa; Chordata; Mammalia; Rodentia; Bathyergidae
Description: lncRNA (ENSHGLG00000037526.1)
Source: RNAcentral